This 484-nucleotide ribosomal RNA is filed under the name uncultured bacterium. Its description in RNAcentral is "partial 16S ribosomal RNA". It matches the Rfam family "Bacterial small subunit ribosomal RNA", at positions 29 to 507 of the family's 1533-position model. The record is from RNAcentral.
AUUGAACGCUGGCGGCAUGCUUUACACAUGCAAGUCGGACGGCAGCGCGGGCUUCGGCCUGGCGGCGAGUGGCGAACGGGUGAGUAAUACAUCGGAACGUGCCCAGUAGUGGGAGAUAGCUCGGCGAAAGCCGGAUUAAUACCGCAUACGACCUGAGGGUGAAAGCGGGGGACUUUAGGGCCUCGCGCUAUUGGAGCGGCCGAUGGCAGAUUAGCUAGUUGGUGGGGUAAAGGCCUACCACGGCGACGAUCUGUAGCUGGUCUGAGAGGACGACCAGCCACACUGGGACUGAGACACGGCCCAGACUCCUACGGGAGGCAGCAGUGGGGAAUUUUGGACAAUGGGCGCAAGCCUGAUCCAGCAAUGCCGCGUGUGUGAUGAAGGCCUUCGGGUUGUAAAGCACUUUUGGCAGGAACGAAAAGUGCCGUGCUAAUACCACGGUACGAUGACGGUACCUGCAGAAUAAGCACCGGCUAACUACGUG